Long non-coding RNA from Pipra filicauda (Wire-tailed manakin), 330 nucleotides. RefSeq lists it as uncharacterized. The transcript is spliced from 2 exons. Lineage: Eukaryota; Metazoa; Chordata; Aves; Passeriformes; Pipridae. The record is from RefSeq and is a predicted model, not a curated record.
CGCACAACCAAAGGCCCGACACCCCCAAAAUGCAGGCCCACCUCUCUGCAAUGGGUCUCAGCGACCCCCUUUCCAAAGCAGGCAGAAGCCCCCAAAGCCUUGUCAAACAUGAAAUUGGGUGGUGUGACUCAUGGAUGCUUUGCUCCCUGAGAUCCCCUCCUAGCUGUGAUUGUUUACUGGUGACCGGCUGACACUGACACUGCAGGGAUUUGAGAAGAAGAGUUUUUCUGUGGAUCUGUGGAUCCAUUCUGCGGAUCUGUGGCUGGCUAAAAGAGCUCUAUUGAAACACCACGGCAAAGGGAAUAAAGUUCUCAAUGAAUGGUUUUCUUA